CCUACGGGUGGCAGCAGUGAGGAAUAUUGGUCAAUGGGCGAGAGCCUGAACCAGCCAAGUCGCGUGAGGGAGUACUGCCCUAUGGGUUGUAAACCUCUUUUGUCGGGGAGCAAAAGCCGGACGUGUCCGGCUGUGAGAGUUCCCGAAGAAAAAGCAUCGGCUAACUCCGUGCCAGCAGCCGCGGUAAUACGGAGGAUGCGAGCGUUAUCCGGAUUUAUUGGGUUUAAAGGGUGCGCAGGCGGAUUUUUAAGUCAGCGGUAAAAUCGUGGGGCUCAACCCCAUCCAGCCGUUGAAACUGGGGAUCUAGAGUGUGCGAGAGGUAUGCGGAAUGCGUGGUGUAGCGGUGAAAUGCAUAGAUAUCACGCAGAACCCCGAUUGCGAAGGCAGCAUACCGGUGCACAACUGACGCUCAGGCACGAAAGCGUGGGUAUCGAACAGGAUUAGAUACCCGGGUAGUC
RNAcentral lists this ribosomal RNA (458 nucleotides) under uncultured bacterium. RNAcentral's name for it is "partial 16S ribosomal RNA". It matches the Rfam family "Bacterial small subunit ribosomal RNA", at positions 338 to 795 of the family's 1533-position model. The record is from RNAcentral.